UUUGUAGAUUGUAUCUUGAGAGCGGAUUAAAGUCUGUUGGAACACAGCGCCUUAGAGGGUGACAGCCCCGUAAAAUCUAUUCUCAUUGUAAGAUACUUUCGAAGAGUCGAGUUGUUUGGGAAUGCAGCUCUAAGUGGGAGGUAAAUUCCUUCUAAAGCUAAAUAUUGACGAGAGACCGAUAGCGAACAAGUACUGUGAAGGAAAGAUGAAAAGCACUUUGAAAAGAGAGUGAAAAAGUACGUGAAAUUGUUAAAAGGGAAGGGUAUUGAAUCAGACUUGGUGCUGUUGUUCAACUGUGUCCCGGCACAGUGUACUCAGCAGUACUAGGCCAAGGUGGGGUGUUUGGGAGUGAAAAAGAAGUUGGAACGUAACUCUUCGGAGUGUUAUAGCCUACUUUCAUAGCUCCUCAGGCGCCUCAGGACUGCGCUUCGGCAAGGACCUUGGCAUAAUGAUUCUAUACCGCCCGUCUUGAAACACGGACCAAA
This 485-nucleotide ribosomal RNA is filed under the name Geotrichum candidum. Its description in RNAcentral is "eukaryotic LSU rRNA". It matches the Rfam family "Eukaryotic large subunit ribosomal RNA", at positions 149 to 670 of the family's 3401-position model. Lineage: Eukaryota; Fungi; Ascomycota; Dipodascomycetes; Dipodascales; Dipodascaceae. The record is from RNAcentral.